Molecule: ribosomal RNA, 481 nt
Filed under: uncultured bacterium
Lineage: Bacteria
Description: partial 16S ribosomal RNA
Rfam family: Bacterial small subunit ribosomal RNA
Source: RNAcentral
GACGAACGCUGGCGGCGUGCUUAACACAUGCAAGUCGAACGGGAUCCGGGCUUUCGGGUUUGGUGAGAGUGGCGAACGGGUGAGUAACACGUGAGUAACCUGCCCCCUUCUUUGGGAUAACGUCGGGAAAUCGGCGCUAAUACUGGAUAUUCUUGCUGCAUCGCAUGGUGUGGUUUGGAAAGGGUUUCUGGUGGGGGAUGGGCUCGCGGCCUAUCAGCUUGUUGGUGGGGUGAUGGCCUACCAAGGCUUUGACGGGUAGCCGGCCUGAGAGGGUGUCCGGCCACACUGAGACUGAGACACGGCCCAGACUCCUACGGGAGGCAGCAGUGGGGAAUAUUGCACAAUGGGCGCAAGCCUGAUGCAGCGACGCCGCGUGAGGGAUGACGGCCUUCGGGUUGUAAACCCCUUUCAGUAUGGAACAAGGAUCCUUCUUUUGGGGGGUUUGAGGGUACGUGCAGAAGAAGCGCCGGCUAACUACGUG